GCUUUAGAAGUUCAUUUGAUGAUUGAGGGGACAGACCAUUGUUUUCUUCUUCAACAGCAUCAGCAGAUUGAGCAUGGAUCAUGCCAUUGUUUUCUUCUUCCUUAAUACUCUCGUUGGACAUCACGUUCACAGAGACUAAUGGAGCAGUGUCUACCGACAUCUCAGUUGAUUUGCAGGAUGCAGAUGAACUUAUUGUGCCUUUUCACACCAGUAGUAGAGCAAUUUGAGAAGUAGUGAAAGUGUGAAGUUAAGGAUAUACAACUACUCUACGAGAAUGUCAUCUACGGGUAUGUCCGUCAAUGUUUUCUUCCGCCUUUUAUUUUGAUCUCCCUUUUCGUUGUGUAUUAGUUUUCUCUAUCUUCAUUGAGUUCAGUAGAGAAUAUUAGCAAACCAUAGUUUUCAGAUCCACUUUGAGUAUUUGAUUGACAACAAACAUGUCAUGGCACCAAAUUUCUUUCACCAUAAGGCACUACCCUGGCCCUAUCACCUAUCUUGCAAGUUCUCAUAGAUUCUUGAGCUUUUUAUUGAAUAAUCAAAAGCAAAAUUAGGAAAAAUAAAAACAAAUAAAAGAUAUAUGAAGGGAAUAAACAACAUUUCAUACAAAAUUUGGGCAUGUUAACAGGCGCACCUGCAUCUCUAUAUAGUUCUUCAAUCGCCACAACCAACGUCUUUUUUCUCAUUCUAUCGCUAGUCAAGUACUUGUUGAAUUGUAUAAGCAUCAUUACUAGUUAAACAACAUAAAAUUUAUUAUUUAGCAAUCAUUUGGUGCAAGGUCACAAUAAAGUUGAAUUAAAGCGAGGAAAU
This is a long non-coding RNA of Solanum lycopersicum (tomato), 804 nucleotides long. RefSeq lists it as uncharacterized. The record is from RefSeq and is a predicted model, not a curated record. Lineage: Eukaryota; Viridiplantae; Streptophyta; Magnoliopsida; Solanales; Solanaceae.